GGAGGCAGGAAGCUGUAAGGUAUUUGAUUACUUUGGAGAAAGAAGAAAGGUUUUUUUUGUUUGUUUGGUUGGUUUGGUUUUUUUGUCUUUUUAGGGCCAAACCCAUGGUAUAUGGAGGUUCCCAGACUAGGGAUUCAAUCAGAACUGUAGCCACCAGCCUACACCACAGCCACAGCAACUGGGGAUCCGAGUCGCGUCUGCAACCUACACCACAGCUCAUGGCAACGCCAGAUCCUUAACCCACUGAGCGAGGCCAGGGAUCAAACCCGCAGCCUCAUGGAUGCUGGUCAGGUUCACUAACCACUGAGCCACAACAGGAACUCCAAGAGGUGGGUUUUAAGGCUGGAAAAAAAAAAAAAAAAAAAACCUGGGACCCAGAAGGUGGAGGACUAUCUAAAUUUAGUAAAGAGUUAUGCUUGAUUCUGUAUGUGUCAGGGACCUGUGCAAGAUUUCUUAGCAAGGCAGUGACAUCAUCAUAUCACAUCAUGUUUUAGAAAGAAUAUAAAUUGGGGAGGGACAGAGGCAGGGAGACUAGGAGAAAUCUCUUACAAUAAAGGUCUAAGCUAUACAGUGGCUGUGGAAAUGGAAAUAAAGUGGACUUAAGAGAGUUUUAGGGAGUUCCCGACCUAGUGGCUCAGCAUGUUAAGAAUCUGGCAUUGUCACUGCUGUGCCUCUGGUUUGUUCCCUGGCCCAGGAAUUUCUACAUGCCGCCAGUGUGGCCAAAACAAAUAAAUAAGGCUAGGGAGGUCCCACUGUGUCUCAGCUGUAAUGAACCCAACUGGUAUCCAUGAGGACGUGGGUUCAAUCCCUGGUCUCCAUCAGUGGGUUAAGGAUCUGGCACUGCUGUGAGCUGUGGUGUAGGUUACAGACAUGGCUUGGAUCCCUCGUUGAUAUGGCUGUGGUAUAGGCUGGUGGCUACAGCUCGCAUUCAACCCCUAGCCUGGGAAUUUCCAUAUGCCAUGGGUGCAGCCCUAAAAAGACAGAUAAAUAGAUAGAUAGAUAGAUAGAUAGAUAGAUAGAUAGAUAGAUAGAUAGAUAGAUAGGGCUAACAUCCUACUUAAGGAAGAAAGACAAUCACAACAUUGUAAAUCAGCUAUAAUUCAGUAAAAUUUAAAAAGAGACUUUCAGAAGGCAGAUUAAGCAGAAACUAGAGGGGGCAAGGAGACUCACAGUUUUCUAACCUGAACAAGGUAGAAAUAAUUGGGACUACAGGAGUAAAAUAGUCCCAGGGGCUGAGGAUAGAAGGAUGAAUUAGGUUCCAUUUUGGACAGCAGGAAGAGGAGGAGAAAAUUCAAGUAAUUCAUUUUGAUUGUUUAAGCUAAAAAAAAAUUUGAAGCCAAACAUUACAGAAGUGUCAAGAAUGUUUUAUGAUGCUGAGGCAUAGAAAGCAGGCCCAGGAAAGCAAAACAUUUCACAUUUCUCUUCUGGUUAAAAACAAAGAAGAAUUUUUUCUGUUAAAGUUUAUGAUAACAUAUUGUUUCAAUUAAUCAAAGGUAGGCAAGACGAAUUUGGUUAAAAUUAAAAAUACAAAAAAAAAAUAGUUUCCUCUUUGGAAAAGUCAGUAUUUCCUAUGGUCUUCAAUCAUCCUUCAAAAUGAUAAGACAAAUGUGAUUCUAUUUAUUUAUCUAGCCUUUUCCCUGAUAAAUUAAAAAUUUAUACAAAAUCUUUCUGCAUCUCAAGGACAGUAACACACUUAAUUGCUAAUCCACAUUAUACUAGAAGUAUAAAUCUAUGGAAUUUGAAAACCAGAAAUGGUGUUCUAAAGAGAAAGAUUAUUACAAAAUUCUUCUUCAUGUCUUAGAAUAAUUUCACAAUUAAAAUAUCUGUAUUUUUUGGAGUUCCCUUCGUGGCACAGUGGCUAACGAAUCCAACUAGACUAGGAACCAUGAGGUUGUGGGUUUGAUCCCUGGCCUUGCUCACUGGCUUAAGGAUCUGGCGUUGCCGUGAGCUGUGGUGUAGGUCGCAGAUGCGACUCGGAUCCCGUGUUGCUGUGGCUCUGGUGUAGGAGGUCGGCGGCUACAGCUCCGAUUAGACCCCUAUCCUGGGAACCUCCGUAUGCCAUGGAAAGAGGCCCUAGAAAAGGCAAAAAGACAAAAGAAAAAAACCUGUAUUUUCUAAAAUCAUCCAAUAUUUUAAAACCAUAUCUAUAAUAAUAACAAUAUUAGAACUUAGUUUAUAAAUCACCUUCCUUACCUUUCUACAUUUAAAAGAACUCUACGGCUGGCUCAGUUUAUUCAUGCAUGUUAGAAAACAAUAGUUUUGGAAGACUGUGUUUAUUAGUGUGAAUCACAAAAUUUAAACUAUUUAUGACCCCUGCUAUAGGUUUAAGCCUGGGAAUGGUUAUAGGUUAUCAUUUGCUCUGUAAAUAAAUCACAGAAGGCAGACCAUCCCCACUGGAAACAUUGGGGUGGUGUAAGGCUCCCAUGCCGGAGGCAAAGGGUUGUAAUUUAGUUCAAUCAUGCAUUUGUCAUAAGAAGUCUGACAAGCUUCAGCUCUAUAAGUAAGCUUGGCAACAAAAGAAAUCCUGUGGAAAAUACUGCACAAAAAGAAUUGAUCCUCUCUUCUUGUCCUAAGAUACAAAAUGUGAGUUUUGUAUCUUUAAAAAUCAAAUGAAAUAGAAAUUCCCAGCAAGUACCAAGGUAGGACACGUAACUAACAAAAUGCCCCUUCUAUCUGCCUCAUAAAACCCUACUCUUCCUUCAAGACUAACUCAAAUAGCACCUUCUCCAUGAUAUUAUCUCUGUUCCUCUCAACAGAUACACACACCUGCUGACGGCAUCCUCUCGCCCAGAACACAAGGUACUUUCUCUGAGGCAUGUUCACUUAGGUAACUGAGUGCCUAUGGUCAGGGACUUUCCAAUUCAUUUUGUGACUCCCACUACAACUGUCCUCACCAGGCACGUGAAGACACUUACUAAUGCUGGUUGAAUACUUUGAAAUCUUGGAAUGCUGCAUAGUCAUUCUAACACGGCUAAUCAUCUUUAAAAACAUUUUGGAAGUUCUUUUUGUACUGGUGAUACUGAUUUCUUUUUUUUUUUUUUUUUUUUUUUU
RNAcentral lists this long non-coding RNA (3051 nucleotides) under Sus scrofa (pig). RNAcentral describes it as "lncRNA (ENSSSCG00015039693.1)". The record is from RNAcentral. Lineage: Eukaryota; Metazoa; Chordata; Mammalia; Artiodactyla; Suidae.